RNAcentral lists this ribosomal RNA (127 nucleotides) under Vibrio chagasii. Its description in RNAcentral is "partial 16S ribosomal RNA". It matches the Rfam family "Bacterial small subunit ribosomal RNA", at positions 1416 to 1533 of the family's 1533-position model. The record is from RNAcentral. Lineage: Bacteria; Pseudomonadati; Pseudomonadota; Gammaproteobacteria; Vibrionales; Vibrionaceae.
UGCAAAAGAAGUGGGUAGUUUAACCUUCGGGAGGACGCUCACCACUUUGUGGUUCAUGACUGGGGUGAAGUCGUAACAAGGUAGCCCUAGGGGAACCUGGGGCUGGAUCACCUCCUUAUACGAAGAU